UACGUAGGGUGCGAGCAUUGUCCGGAAUUAUUGGGCGUAAAGAGCUCGUAGGCGGCCUGUCGCGUCGGAUGUGAAAGCCCGGGGCUUAACCCCGGGUCUGCAUUCGAUACGGGCAGGCUGGAGUUCGGUAGGGGAGAUCGGAAUUCCUGGUGUAGCGGUGAAAUGCGCAGAUAUCAGGAGGAACACCGGUGGCGAAGGCGGAUCUAUGGGCCGAUACUGACGCUGAGGAGCGAAAGCGUGGGGAGCGAACAGG
This 253-nucleotide ribosomal RNA is filed under the name uncultured bacterium. RNAcentral's name for it is "partial 16S ribosomal RNA". It matches the Rfam family "Bacterial small subunit ribosomal RNA", at positions 524 to 776 of the family's 1533-position model. The record is from RNAcentral.